CGCGAGUCGAAUCAAAUCGUAAUUAAAUAAUAAAAAUGGAUUAAAAGGACAACUAAAGGGAGCAAAGACAUCAGGGUCUCAAAGGCCAAAAACAAUAAACGGAACCAUCCUCCUGACUAGAAAACAAAGGUGUUCUGACCUGCGGUGGGAAAAGGAAAGACAAUGCUGACCUCCCUCCCUCCCUCUCUAUCCACAAAACAGGAGGAGAAGCAGUAACAGAAAUGGCAGAGAACCGUAACAGAACGGCUGGAUUUAAAAAUCGCUUUUUCCUGUUUGUUUCACACCUUCUUUCACACCUUCUCUCACACCUUGGCUUUCUUUGCAGUUUUUGCAGUGAGGGGAUGACUUUGGGUCUUUGCAGAUCUAAAGUUCAACAGGGAGGCCAGCAGUGUGCUACGGUGGAGGAUGA
This is a long non-coding RNA of Gasterosteus aculeatus aculeatus (three-spined stickleback), 409 nucleotides long. NCBI's taxonomy places the organism in Eukaryota, Metazoa, Chordata, Actinopteri, Perciformes, Gasterosteidae. The record is from Ensembl.